This is a non-coding RNA of Peromyscus maniculatus bairdii (prairie deer mouse), 165 nucleotides long. NCBI's taxonomy places the organism in Eukaryota, Metazoa, Chordata, Mammalia, Rodentia, Cricetidae. The record is from RefSeq and is a predicted model, not a curated record.
UUUGUUCCUGUGCAGGGACAUCAUUGAAAACCCUGAGAAUGUUGAACCUGAAGGACAAUAUAUGAACCCCAAAGAGAACCCCAAGGAUAACAACAUCGUGUACGCCUCCAUUGCCCGCUCAAGCCCAGCCUCCCCAGGAACACCACCCUGCCAGCCCGUCCAUGG